Molecule: ribosomal RNA, 301 nt
Filed under: uncultured bacterium
Lineage: Bacteria
Description: partial 16S ribosomal RNA
Rfam family: Bacterial small subunit ribosomal RNA
Source: RNAcentral
CAGUAGCCGCGGUAAUACGAAGGGGGCUAGCGUUGCUCGGAAUGACUGGGCGUAAAGGGCGCGUAGGCGGCGAUCAAAGUCAGGCGUGAAAUUCCUGGGCCCAACCUGGGGGCUGCGCUUGAUACUUGGUUGCUUGAGUGGGGAAGAGGGUCGUGGAAUUCCCAGUGUAGAGGUGAAAUUCGUAGAUAUUGGAAAGAACACCGGUGGCGAAGGCGGCAACCUGGUCUUUAACUGACGCUGAGGCGCGAAAGCGUGGGGAGCAAACAGGAUUAGAUACCCGUGUAGUCCCUGUCUCUUAUAU